Long non-coding RNA from Solea senegalensis (Senegalese sole), 588 nucleotides. RefSeq lists it as uncharacterized. The record is from RefSeq and is a predicted model, not a curated record. Lineage: Eukaryota; Metazoa; Chordata; Actinopteri; Pleuronectiformes; Soleidae. The transcript is spliced from 3 exons.
UCUUCUUCAUCCUCUUCCUCUUCUUCUUCUUCUUCUUCUUCUUGUGUGACGCGCUGCUGGACUGAAGGAAGCUGCAGGUGCAGAACAGUGGUCAUGGGUUCUCUGGUUCAAGCUUCCUGCUAACAGAGGGACAAAGAGCGGGGCAGCCGUUCAAGCCACAUCCUCCAGAGCCGCCACCUUUCAACUCAGGAAGAAGAAGAGGGGGAGAAGAAAGAGGCGUAAGCAAGAAAAGGAGUGCAAGAAAGAGAGAAGGGAGCGGGUGAGAACAGUCGAUGGAUGCUGUCCGGAUUGAGGGGACAGCACGUUCUUCACUGACGAGGAAAAGAAAGAUUUCAAAAUUGAGUCGAAGGAUAGAAACUCGCCGUCAGGCAUGGUGUGUGAGAAGGGGAUCCAGAUCCUUCUCACCACCGUGGGGGCAUUCGCUGCCUUCGGCCUGAUGACGGUGGCUAUAGGGACGGACUAUUGGCUGUACUCACGUGCCCUCAUCUGCAACAGCACAGCCAACGUCACCCAGGAUGACCCCCACAACAAGGACAAGAAGGACCCGGGGGCGCUCACCCACUCCGGACUGUGGAGGAUAUGCUGCCU